GUACUGCCGACGGGUCCCAAACUAGGACGAAACAGUUUUCCAGUAC
Molecule: non-coding RNA, 46 nt
Filed under: Trichobilharzia regenti
Lineage: Eukaryota; Metazoa; Platyhelminthes; Trematoda; Strigeidida; Schistosomatidae
Source: RNAcentral